AUUUAUUAAGUUUUAUAACGUUUCAUUUUCAAUGAAAAGAUGGAAAUUUACUGAUUUCUGAUAAAUA
RNAcentral lists this transfer RNA (67 nucleotides) under Paphnutius ruficeps. Its description in RNAcentral is "tRNA-Glu". Lineage: Eukaryota; Metazoa; Arthropoda; Insecta; Hemiptera; Cercopidae. The record is from RNAcentral.